GGGGCUGUGGUUCAGUGGUAGAGCACUCGCCUAGCAUGUGUGAGGCCCUGGGUUCGAUCCUCAGCACCA
Molecule: transfer RNA, 69 nt
Filed under: Urocitellus parryii (Arctic ground squirrel)
Lineage: Eukaryota; Metazoa; Chordata; Mammalia; Rodentia; Sciuridae
Also listed under: 1 other name
Description: Spermophilus parryii (Arctic ground squirrel) tRNA
Rfam family: tRNA
About the family: Transfer RNA (tRNA) molecules are approximately 80 nucleotides in length.
Source: Rfam by way of RNAcentral